Molecule: long non-coding RNA, 2021 nt
Organism: Gallus gallus (chicken)
Lineage: Eukaryota; Metazoa; Chordata; Aves; Galliformes; Phasianidae
Source: Ensembl
GUCCCCAUAGAACCCCGUAAGGACCCCAUAGGACCCCUUUAAGACCCCAUAGAGCCCCAUGGGACCCCAUAAAGCCCCCAUCGGACCCCUUUAAGCCUCCAUAGUACCCCAUAGAGCCCCAUAGGACCGCAUAAGGACCCCAUAGAGCCCCAUAAGGACCCCAUAGAGCCCCAUAGGACCCCAUAGAACCCCAUAGGACCCCAUAAGAACCCCAUAAAGACUCCUUUAAGCCCCCAUAGAGCCCCAUAGAACCCCAUAGGACCCCAUAGAGCCUCAUAAGGACCCCAUAGGCCCCCAUAAAGCCCCAUAGAACCCCAUAAGGACCCCAUAGAGCCUCAUAAGGACCACAUAGGACCCCAUAAAGACCCCAUAAGACCCCAUAGGACCCCAUAGAGCCCCAUAGGACCCCAUAGAACCCCUUUAAGCCCCCAUAGGACCCCAUAAAGCCCCAAUAAGACCCCAUAUAACCCCAUAAAAGCCCCAUAGGGACCCCAUAAGAACCCCAUAAGGACCCCAUAGAGCCCCAUAGGACCCCUUUAAGCCUCCAUAGAACCCCAUAGGACCCCAUAGGGACCCCAUAAGGACCCCAUAGGACCCCAUAGAGCCCCAUAGGACCCCAUAAGGACCCCAUAGGACCGCAUAUUGCCCCAUAGGACCCCAUAAAGACCCCAUAGGACCCUUUGAGGCCCCAUAGAACCCAUAGGACCCCAUAGAGCCUUAUGAGGACCCCAUAGAACCCCUUUAAGCCCCCAUAGGACCCCAUAGGGACCCCAUAAGACCCCAUAAAACCCCAUGGGGACCCCAUAAAGACCCCAUAGGGACCCCAUAAGGACCCCAUAGAGCCCCAUAAGACCUCAUAGAGCCCCAUAGGACCCCAUUGGACCCCAUAUAACCCCAUAAGGACCCCAUAGGACCCCAUAAAGACCACUUUAAGCCCCCAUAGAUCCUCAUAAGGACCCCAUAGAGCCCCAUAGGGCCCCAUAAGGACCCCAUAAGGACCCCAUAGAGCCCCAUAGGACCCCUUUAAGCCCCCAUAGGACCCCAUAAAGCCCCCAUAAGACCCCAUAGGACCUCAUAAAGACCACAUAGAGCCCCACAGAGCCUCGCAAGGACCCCAUAGGGACCCCAUAGAACCCCAUGGGGACCCCAUAAGAACCCCAUAAGGACCCCAUAGAACCCCAUAAGACCUCAUAGAGCCCCAUAGGACCCCAUUGGACCCCAUAAAACCCCAUAAGGACCCCAUAGGAGCCCAUAAGACCCCAUAGGACCCCAUAGGACCCCAUAAAGCCCCCAUAGAGUCCCAUAGGACCCCAUAGAACCCCUUUAAGCCCCCAUAGGACCCCAUAAAGCCCCCAUAGAUCCCCAUAAGGACCCCAUAAGGACCCUAUAGGACCCCUUUAAACCCCCAUAGGACCCCAUAAAGACCUCAUAGAGUCCCAUAGGACUCAUUUAAGCCCCCAAAGGACCCCAUAAGGACCCCAUAGAACCCCAUAAGACCCUUUUAAGCCCCCAUAAGGACCCCAUAGAGCCCCAUAGGACCCUAUAAAGACCCCAUAGGGCCCCAUAAGGACCCCAUAGGACCCCAUAAAGACCCCAUAAAGACCACUUGAAGCCCCCAUAGAACCCCAUAGGACCCCAUAGAGCCUCAUAAGGACCCCAUAGGACCCCAUAAGACCCCAUAAGGACCCCAUAAGACCCCAUAAGGACCCCAUAGGACCCCAUAAGACCCCAUAGAACUCCAUGAGACCCUUUUAAUCCCACAUAAGGACCCCAUAGAGCCUCAUAAGGACCCCAUAGGACCCCAUAGGGCCCCAUAAGACCCCAUAGGACCCCAUAAAGACCCCAUACAACCCCUUCAAGCCCCCAUACAACCCCAUAAAGCCCCCAUAAGACCCCAUAGGACCCCAUAAAGACCCCAUAGAGCCCCACAGAGCCUCAUAAGGACCCCAUAGGACCCCAUAGAUCCCCUUUAAGCCCCCAUAGGACCCCAUAAAGACCCCAUAGGACCCCAUAGAACCCCA